GCGCUGGUCCGGGUGGUCCUGCCUUCCGGUAGGCACUGUCUUUGGCUGGCGUUCAACCUUCUGGUGAACUGGUCUGCACCUCGUGUGUGGGCCAGGGAACCAGGACUUUUUACUUUGAAAAAAUUAGAGUGUUUAAAGCAGGCAAGUUUUUGCUCGAAUACAUUAGCAUGGAAUAAUAGAAUAGGACUUUGGUUCUAUUUUGUUGGUUUCUAGGACCGAAGUA
RNAcentral lists this ribosomal RNA (223 nucleotides) under Mucoromycotina sp. RNAcentral describes it as "partial 18S ribosomal RNA". The stretch from base 96 to 223 matches the Rfam family "Eukaryotic small subunit ribosomal RNA", at positions 738 to 864 of the family's 1831-position model. The record is from RNAcentral. Lineage: Eukaryota; Fungi; Mucoromycota.